GACGAACGCUGGCGGCGUGCUUAACACAUGCAAGUCGAACGGAAAGGCCCUGCUUUUGUGGGGUGCUCGAGUGGCGAACGGGUGAGUAACACGUGAGUAACCUGCCCUUGACUUUGGGAUAACUUCAGGAAACUGGGGCUAAUACCGGAUAGGAGCUCCUGCUGCAAGGUGGGGGUUGGAAAGUUUCGGCGGUUGGGGAUGGACUCGCGGCUUAUCAGCUUGUUGGUGGGGUAGUGGCUUACCAAGGCUUUGACGGGUAGCCGGCCUGAGAGGGUGACCGGCCACAUUGGGACUGAGAUACGGCCCAGACUCCUACGGGAGGCAGCAGUGGGGAAUAUUGCACAAUGGGCGGAAGCCUGAUGCAGCAACGCCGCGUGCGGGAUGACGGCCUUCGGGUUGUAAACCGCUUUCGCCUGUGACGAAGCGUGAGUGACGGUAAUGGGUAAAGAAGCACCGCCUAACUACGUG
Molecule: ribosomal RNA, 468 nt
Filed under: uncultured bacterium
Lineage: Bacteria
Description: partial 16S ribosomal RNA
Rfam family: Bacterial small subunit ribosomal RNA
Source: RNAcentral